GGCCAGACUCCUACGGGAGGCAGCAGUGGGGAAUAUUGCACAAUGGGGGAAACCCUGAUGCAGCGACGCCGCGUGAGUGAAGAAGUAUUUCGGUAUGUAAAGCUCUAUCAGCAGGGAAGAAAAUGACGGUACCUGAUUAAGAAGCCCCGGCUAACUACGUGCCAGCAGCCGCGGUAAUACGUAGGGGGCAAGCGUUAUCCGGAUUUAUUGGGUUUAAAGGGUGCGUAGGCGGAUUUUUAAGUCAGCGGUAAAAUGUCCGGGCUCAACCCGGGCCGGCCGUUGAAACUGGGGAUCUUGAGUGGGCGAGAAGUAUGCGGAAUGCGUGGUGUAGCGGUGAAAUGCAUAGAUAUCAUGAAGAACUCCGAUCGCGAAGGCAAGUGUCCGGGGUGCAACUGACGCUGAGGCUCGAAAGUGCGGGUAUCAAACAGGAUUAGAUACCCUAGUAUC
Molecule: ribosomal RNA, 447 nt
Filed under: uncultured bacterium
Lineage: Bacteria
Description: bacterial SSU rRNA
Rfam family: Bacterial small subunit ribosomal RNA
Source: RNAcentral